Molecule: ribosomal RNA, 269 nt
Filed under: uncultured archaeon
Lineage: Archaea
Description: partial 16S ribosomal RNA
Rfam family: Archaeal small subunit ribosomal RNA
Source: RNAcentral
CAGCGGCCCUAGUGGUGAUCGUUAUUAUUGGGCCUAAAGCGUCCGUAGCCGGUUCGGUAAAUCUCUGGGUAAAUCGUUGGGCUUAACUCAACGAAUUCUGGGGAGACUGCCGAACUUGAGACCGGGAGAGGUCGGAGGUACUCCAGGGGUAGGGGUGAAAUCCUGUAAUCCUUGGGGGACCACCGGUGGCGAAAGCGUCCGACCAGAACGGGUCCGACGGUAAGGGACGAAGCCCUGGGGCGCGAACCGGAUUAGAUACCCGAGUAGUC